Molecule: ribosomal RNA, 305 nt
Filed under: uncultured bacterium
Lineage: Bacteria
Description: bacterial SSU rRNA
Rfam family: Bacterial small subunit ribosomal RNA
Source: RNAcentral
UCCUACGGGAGGCAGCAGUGAGGAAUAUUGGUCAAUGGGCAAGAGCCUGAACCAGCCAAGUCGCGUGAGGGAAGACGGUCCUAUGGAUUGUAAACCUCUUUUGCCGGGGAGCAAAAAGCGGUACGUGUACCGCAUCGAGAGUACCCGGAGAAAAAGCAUCGGCUAACUCCGUGCCAGCAGCCGCGGUAAUACGGAGGAUGCGAGCGUUAUCCGGAUUUAUUGGGUUUAAAGGGUGCGCAGGCGGCGAGUUAAGUCAGCGGUAAAAUUUCGGGGCUCAACCCCGCCAAGCCGUUGAAACUGGCUUG